CAGAAAGCAGCUGUGUGAUGAUGAUGAUGAUGAUGAAUGUGAUGAAGAGGUGAACUCUGAGAGGAUUGAGACGAACUUGAGUUUUUUGUUUGAAUGAGUGUUAAUCGUUUUUCAUUUAUUUCUGAAUGUUGAUAAUCGUUGUCAACAGCAGUAGAUGUCUGCCAGAUGUUGGAUACAUGGAGCUUUUAUGAAGCCUUAUGAAGUCUUUAUGAAGCCUUAAAGAAGUCUUUAUGAAGCCUUAUGAAGUCUUUAUGAAGCCUUAAGAAGUCUUUAUGAAGCCUUAAAGAAUAUUUUUGAAGCCUUAAGAAGUCUUUAUGAAGCCUUAAAGAAGUCUUUAUGAAGCCUUAAAGAAGUCUUCAUGAAGCCUUAAAGAAGUCUUUAUGAAGCCUUAAAGAAUCUUUAUGAAGCCUUAAAGAAGUCUUUAUGAAGCCUUAAAGUAGUCUUUACGAAGCCUUAAAGAAGUCUUUAUGAAGCCUUAAAGAAGUCUUUAUGAAGCCUUAAGAAGUCUUUAUGAAGCGUUAUGAAGAACGGGAUCAGAGAUCCUUGAUAUCCCUGUGUCAAAUCAUCCGAUACCUCACACAUCCAAAUUAGAGGCUUCUUCUGUUCCUCUGUCUUCUGAUGUUGGAGCUCAUUGACAAUUCAAAUCUCAGGUCUUAUUUGAGCAGCAAGAAAAGAUGCUUGAACAACUGAACAGUUCCCGAACG
RNAcentral lists this long non-coding RNA (704 nucleotides) under Salmo salar (Atlantic salmon). Its description in RNAcentral is "lncRNA (ENSSSAG00000115262.1)". The record is from RNAcentral. Lineage: Eukaryota; Metazoa; Chordata; Actinopteri; Salmoniformes; Salmonidae.